UGGCGGACGGGUGAGAAAUACAUGGGAAUCUGCCCAGUCGUGGGGGAUAACGUAGGGAAACUUACGCUAAUACCGCAUGCGCCCUUCGGGGGAAAGCCGGGGACCUUCGGGCCCGGCGCGAUUGGAUGAGCCCAUGUCGGAUUAGCUAGUUGGCGGGGUAAUGGCCCACCAAGGCGACGAUCCGUAGCUGGUCUGAGAGGAUGAUCAGCCAGACUGGAACUGAGACACGGUCCAGACUCCUACGGGAGGCAGCAGUGGGGAAUAUUGGGCAAUGGGGGCAACCCUGACCCAGCGACGUCGCGUGGGUGAAGAAAUCCUUCGGGAUGUAAAGCCCUGUUGUAUGGGAAAAGCAGAAGACGGUACCAUACGAGGAAGCCCCGGCAAACUACGUGCCAGCAGCCGCGGUAAUA
RNAcentral lists this ribosomal RNA (410 nucleotides) under uncultured Thermomonas sp. RNAcentral's name for it is "bacterial SSU rRNA". It matches the Rfam family "Bacterial small subunit ribosomal RNA", at positions 96 to 525 of the family's 1533-position model. The record is from RNAcentral. Lineage: Bacteria; Pseudomonadati; Pseudomonadota; Gammaproteobacteria; Lysobacterales; Lysobacteraceae.